AGGGAGGACUCAUUGCUCUUGCAUUGCUUGUGUGUUUCCUUAUUGCACGGUUAGUAUACUAUGAUCACACUGAAAAUGUAGUUCCCCUUCGAAGCAGGCGGGGAUGAAGAUGUUUAAGUUCUCAACGGACACGGUGCUGAAGAUCUGAUACUUUGAACAUUGUGCUUUUCCUCCCUCUUGUACUGGAUGUGGCUUAACACUGUAUUGCUUCAGGUCGUUCCCAAUUCUGCUCUGCGAUGCAAAAAUCGCAUGAGAUUAGAUGUGUAGACUUCGAUCGAUCUAGGGUGUAAUGUACUUUCUAGCACUGUCAGUAUGUUCAUAAAAAUUUAACCAAUUUCCUUAUCAGUAUCACUGCCAGUAUAUGAAGUAGUAGUACCUACGUACUAAAUGUGUCUUCACGCAUUUCAUCAAUGUUCUAAAGCAGCUAAAUGUUUAAAUCCUCUAUGUAGCUAGGACUCAACGCUUUCCACAGAAAUCGACCAAAGAACAAUAUAGGGGGGGAUUUGGGUACACCAGAGAAUCGCGUACCUACGAUUUGGACCGCUCGCCCGUGUUGCCCGCGUCGGUCGUCGGAGCCGCGAAAGCCCCGCUCAUGCGCGAGGGAGAGCUCGUGGGGGAAACCGCCGCUACGCUCUGCUGCGCACGGUACCGAGGCGGCGGCGCGAAGCCGGCCGGGUAGAACGAGUGGCGAGGGCUCAACGGGUAAAUGGAACACGCACGCCGUACCCGGACGGCCGCCGCG
RNAcentral lists this long non-coding RNA (742 nucleotides) under Triticum aestivum (bread wheat). Its description in RNAcentral is "long non-coding RNA (TAES_LNC016715)". Lineage: Eukaryota; Viridiplantae; Streptophyta; Magnoliopsida; Poales; Poaceae. The record is from RNAcentral.